UGGGAGCUCUCCCAUAUGGUCGACCUGCAGGCGGCCGCGAAUUCACUAGUGAUUCGUAUUACCGCGGCUGCUGGCACAGAGUUAGCCGGUGCUUAUUCUGCGGGUACCGUCAUAGCAACGAGUUAUUCGCUCGUUACCUUUCUUCCCCACCUAAAGUGCUUUACAACCCGAAGGCCUUCUUCACACACGCGGCAUCGCUGGAUCAGGGUUUCCCCCAUUGUCCAAGAUUCCCCACUGCUGCCUCCCGUAGGAGUCUGGGCCGUGUCUCAGUCCCAGUGUGGCUGGUCAUCCUCUCAGACCAGCUACGGAUCGUCGCCUUGGUAGGCUUUUACCCCACCAACUAGCUAAUCCGACGUAGGCUCACCCCAGAGCGCAAGGCCUUUCGGUCCCCUGCUUUUGAUCUCUCGAUAUCAUGUGGUAUUAGCCCGAGUUUCCUCGGGUUAUCCCACGCUCCAGGACAGAUUCCUACGUGUUACUCACCCGUCCGCCACUCGCCACCCCAUAAAGACCGAAAUCUUUACUGUGCUGCCGUUCGACUUGCAUGUGUUAGGCAUGCCCCCAGCGUUCAAUCUGAGCCAUGAUCAAACUCUAAUCGAAUUCCCGCGGCCGCCAUGGCGGCCGGGAGCAU
RNAcentral lists this ribosomal RNA (628 nucleotides) under uncultured Gammaproteobacteria bacterium. RNAcentral describes it as "partial 16S ribosomal RNA". Lineage: Bacteria; Pseudomonadati; Pseudomonadota; Gammaproteobacteria. The record is from RNAcentral.